This is a long non-coding RNA of Ochotona curzoniae (black-lipped pika), 99 nucleotides long. RefSeq lists it as uncharacterized. Lineage: Eukaryota; Metazoa; Chordata; Mammalia; Lagomorpha; Ochotonidae. The transcript is spliced from 3 exons. The record is from RefSeq and is a predicted model, not a curated record.
UAAUACCAAUAAACAGAUCAAUGAGACAAAAGCUCAACAGAGAAGCUACAGAGCUCACACAAACAAUAGAACAAUUGGACUUGGUAGACAUCUAUAGAA